AUACGGAGGGUGCAAGCGUUACUCGGAAUCACUGGGCGUAAAGCGCGCGCAGGCGGUCUUUUAAGUUGGAUGUGAAAGCCUACGGCUCAACCGUAGAACUGCAUCCAAAACUAUUAGACUAGAGUGUGGGAGAGGAAGAUGGAAUUAGUUGUGUAGGGGUAAAAUCCGUAGAGAUAACUAGGGAUACCAAAAGCGAAGGCAAUCUUCUGGAACACUACUGACGCUGAGGCGCGAAAGCGUGGGGAGCAAACAGGAUUAGAAACCCCAGUAGUCC
Molecule: ribosomal RNA, 274 nt
Filed under: uncultured bacterium
Lineage: Bacteria
Description: partial 16S ribosomal RNA
Rfam family: Bacterial small subunit ribosomal RNA
Source: RNAcentral